AUUUAGGGUUUGGUUUAGGAUUUGAUUUAGGGUUUAGGGUUUGGAUUAGAAUUUGGAUUAGGAUUUGGAUUAGGAUUUAGGAUUUGAUUUAGGAUUUAGUUAGGGAUUGAUUUAAGGUUUAGGAUUUGAUUAAGAUUUGAAUAGGGUUUGGUCUAGGAUUUAGGAUUUAUCUAGGAUUUGAUUAAGGUUGGAUUAGAAUUAGGAGUUGGUUAGAAUUUAAGGUUUUAUUAGAUUUUUGUUAGGAUUUGACUAAGUUUUCUUUAAUAUUCUUUUAUAUUUCUUUAGGAUUUCCUUGUGUUUCUUUUAUAACUUCAAUAAAAUUUAAUUGAGCUUGCUAAAUGUUUGAUUAUGAUUGUUAAUGUUUAAUU
Molecule: long non-coding RNA, 368 nt
Filed under: Physcomitrium patens
Lineage: Eukaryota; Viridiplantae; Streptophyta; Bryopsida; Funariales; Funariaceae
Description: long non-coding RNA (PPAT_LNC001955)
Source: RNAcentral